AGUUUGAUCAUGACUCAGAUUGAACGCUGGCGGAAUGCUUUACACAUGCCNNUUCGAACGGCAGCACGGACUUCGGUCUGGUGGCGAGUGGCGAACGGGUGAGUAAUAUAUCGGAACGUGCCCAGUCGUGGGGGAUAACGUAGUGAAAAUUACGCUAAUACCGCGUACGAUCUAUGGAUGAAAGCGGGGGACUCGCAAGAGCCUCGCGCGAUUGGAGCGGCCGAUAUCAGAUUAGGUAGUUGGUGAGGUAAAGGCUCACCAAGCCCGCGAUCUGUAGCUGGUCUGAGAGGACGACCAGCCACACUGGAACUGAGACACGGUCCAGACUCCUACGGGAGGCAGCAGUGGGGAAUUUUGGACAAUGGACGAAAGUCUGAUCCAGCCAUUCCGCGUGCAGGAUGAAGGCCCUCGGGUUGUAAACUGCUUUUGUACGGAACGAAAAGGUCUCUCCUAAUACGAGAGGCUCAUGACGGUACCGUAAGAAUAAGCACCGGCUAACUACGUGCCAGCAGCCGCGGUAAUACGUAGGGUGCAAGCGUUAAUCGGAAUUACUGGGCGUAAAGCGUGCGCAGGCGGUUAUAUAAGACAGAUGUGAAAUCCCCGGGCUCAACCUGGGAACUGCAUUUGUGACUGUAUAGCUAGAGUACGGUAGAGGGGGAUGGAAUUCCGCGUGUAGCAGUGAAAUGCGUAGAUAUGCGGAGGAACACCGAUGGCGAAGGCAAUCCCCCUGGACCUGUACUGACGCUCAUGCACGAAAGCGUGGGGAGCAAACAGGGAUUAGAUACCCUGGUAGUCCACGCCCUUAAACGAUGUCAACUGGUUGUUGGGUCUUAACUGACUCAGUAAC
Molecule: ribosomal RNA, 847 nt
Filed under: uncultured bacterium
Lineage: Bacteria
Description: bacterial SSU rRNA
Rfam family: Bacterial small subunit ribosomal RNA
Source: RNAcentral